GACGAACGCUGGCGGCGUGCUUAACACAUGCAAGUCGAGCGGUAAGGCUCCUUCGGGAGUACACGAGCGGCGAACGGGUGAGUAACACGUGAGCAAUCUGCCCUUCUCAUCGGAAUAACCAUUGGAAACGAUGGCUAAUGCCGAAUACGACUUCCUUUCGCAUGUCAGGAAGUGGAAAGCUCCGGCGGGGAAGGAUGAGCUCGCGGCCUAUCAGCUUGUUGGUGAGGUAAUGGCUCACCAAGGCGACGACGGGUAGCCGGCCUGAGAGGGUGACCGGCCACGCUGGGACUGAGACACGGCCCAGACUCCUACGGGAGGCAGCAGUGGGGAAUAUUGGACAAUGGGCGAAAGCCUGAUCCAGCAACGCCGCGUGAGGGAUGACGGCCUUCGGGUUGUAAACCUCUUUCAGCAGGGACGAAGCGAAAGUGACGGUACCUGCAGAAGAAGGACCGGCCAACUACGUGCCAGCCGCCGCAGUAA
This 480-nucleotide ribosomal RNA is filed under the name uncultured bacterium. Its description in RNAcentral is "partial 16S ribosomal RNA". It matches the Rfam family "Bacterial small subunit ribosomal RNA", at positions 28 to 523 of the family's 1533-position model. The record is from RNAcentral.